Ipomoea nil (Japanese morning glory) is the source of this 3182-nucleotide RNA transcript. It is a transcript of the gene named putative pentatricopeptide repeat-containing protein At2g01510, with no coding region annotated. The record is from RefSeq and is a predicted model, not a curated record. The transcript has 3 exons. NCBI's taxonomy places the organism in Eukaryota, Viridiplantae, Streptophyta, Magnoliopsida, Solanales, Convolvulaceae.
GUGGGUGACUUUUUGGUUUUUGAAUAUUGAGUAGUCGUAGUCAUAGACAUUCAUUAAGUACACACAUCAUUUAUUGAUCACCUGAACAUGCUGUUGUGUUGUUGUUAACUCACUUAUUUGCGCAUAGUUUCACCUAUCUUUGUCCCAUCAUCAUAUUGUUGGAUUUGUUGUAGCACUUUAAAAGGCUCAUAACCUUUUUCUGGUUUUACUUGUAGUAUAAUGAAUUAUUCAAAAUCUACAAAGCAUUGGAGUGCGGUCGCAGUGUUUGCAAAGCGAUUUUACUGUGGUAAGCACUAUGUUGAAAUUCCGGUGGAUGCCCUCAGCGUCAAAACUGGGUUUGACCCACAAAUAUCUAGGCUCAACUACCAGCUGAAGAAUUUAGUUAGAAGCAAUCAGAUGGCUCAGGCCCAAGAACUUUAUGAACGCAUGCCUUCUAGAAAUACUUGCACAGUGAAUAUGAUGAUUUCAGGUUAUGUGAAUUCUGGUAAUCUUUCUCGUGCUAGUGAGAUGUUUGAUAGUAUGGAUGAACGUACAGAAGUGUCAUGGACAAUAAUGAUUGGUGCAUACUCGCAUAAUAAGCAGCCCAAGGAAGCUUUCGCUCUCUAUGCUAAGAUGUGUAGAGCAGGGAUGAAGCCAGAUUAUAUCACCUUUGCAACACUAUUAUCUGGUUGUGAUGACACAUCAACUGCAAAAGAAGCACUUCAGAUUCAUGCCCAUAUCAUUAAGUUGGGGUUCAAUUCAAUCUCCAUGGUUGGCAAUAGCUUGAUGGAUUCUUACUGCAAAUGCCAACGCCUUGAUCUAGCCCUUCAACUCUUCAAUGAAAUCACAGCAAAAGAUUCAGUGAGCUUCAAUGCAAUGAUAACAGGAUACUCAAAACAUGGUUCAAAUGAAGAAGCACUAAAGCUAUUUCAAGAAAUGCAACAUUUGGGUCUGAAGCCUUCAGAUUUCACUUUUGCAGCAGUGCUAGGUGCUGUUGUUGGAUUAGAUGAUGCUGCAUUUGGGAAACAACUUCAUGGACUUGCCAUCAAGACCAGCUAUGUUUGGAAUGUAUUUGUAGGCAAUGCUUUGCUCGAUUUUUACUCUAAACAUGACAAUUUAGAUGAUGCAAAUAAACUCUUUGGUGAAAUGCCCGAGUUGGAUGGAGUUUCAUACAAUAUUAUAAUUACAGGAUUUGCAUGGGGUGGUCAGUAUGAAAAAUCGUUCACUCUCUUCCGUAAAUUAAAUAGCACUACAUUUGACAGAAGACAGUUCCCUUUUGCAACUAUGCUGAGCAUUGCUGCAACUACUCAGAAUUUAGAAAUGGGAAGGCAAAUCCACGCACAAGGAAUAGUGACAAAAGCAGAUUCAGAGGUACAAGUGGGGAAUGCUCUAGUUGACAUGUACGCGAAAUGUGACAGAUUAGAGGAAACAAAUGCCAUUUUUGCAAAUCUGGCUCACAGUUCUGUUUCAUGGACAGCCAUAAUCUCGGUAUAUGUCCAAAAGGGUCUUUUCGAGGAAGCCCUGAAAGUGUUCAAGGAGAUGUCUAGAGAAAAUGUUCAUGGUGACCAGGCCACUUUUGCAAGUCUACUAAAAGCUUCAGCAAACUUGGCUUCAGUUGCACUAGGGAGGCAGUUACACUCAUAUGUCAUCAGAUUAGGAUUGAUGUCAAAUGUUUUCUCGGGUAGUGCACUUCUGGACAUGUAUGCAAAAUGCGGGUCUAUAAAAGAUGCAAAAAAGAUUUUCAAAGAAAUGCCCGAUAGAAAUAUAGUCUCCUGGAAUGCAAUGUUCUCAGCACAUGCUCAAAACGGUGAUGGCGAAGCUACCCUGAGGUCCUUCGGGGAGAUGAUCGAAUCAGGUCUUCAUCCCGAUUCUGUUAGUUUUCUCUGUGUCUUAACUGCCUGCAGUCACCAUGGGCUCAUCGAAGCUGCACAAGAGUAUUUCAGUUCCAUGACUCAAGUAUACAAUUUGGACCCAAAGAGAGAACACUAUACCACCAUGGUCGAUGUUCUGUGCAGAAAGGGAAGAUUUUACGAGGCAGAAAAAUUAAUUACUGAAAUGCCGUAUGAGCCAGAUGAGAUCCUGUGGUCAUCGGUUUUGAACUCAUGCAGAAUUCAUAAGAAUCAGGAGCUCGCUCAAAAAGUCGCCGAGCAACUAUUCAAGAUGGACAUAUUAAGAGACGCUGCUGCUUAUGUCAAUAUGUCUAACAUCUAUGCAGAGGCUGGCCAAUGGAACAACGUAGCAUCGGUGAAAAAGGCUAUGAGGGAAAGGGGAAUUAAGAAAGUAGCAGCAAUUAGCUGGGUUGAAAUUGGCCAUAUAGUUCAUAAAUUUACUGCAAAUGAUAGGGCCCACCCACAGAUUGAGGCGAUUAGAAGGAAAAUUGAUUCAUUGGGGAAGCGGAUGGAAAAGGAAGGGUACAAGCCAGACACGAGUUGUGCCAUACACGAUGUAGAUGAAGAUAUUAAAGUAGAAUCACUUAAAUAUCACAGUGAAAGAUUAGCUAUUGCUUUUGCUUUGAUUAGUACUCCAGAAGGGUCACCUAUUGUAGUGAUGAAAAACUUGCGGGCUUGUAUAGACUGUCAUGCUGCCAUCAAAAUAAUUUCGAGAAUUGUUGGGAGGGAGAUUAUUGUUCGAGAUUCAAGUAGAUUCCAUCGUUUUAGAGAUGGAUCAUGUUCAUGUGGAGACUACUGGUGACUUAAUUGGUAAACGAGUGAAUCCUUCAUUUGCUUGGAGCUGUUAGAUUAUGCUAUCCAUGAGGCUGUGAUACCUUUGCAACUCUAAAACGUCGAUUACAUUUGUACAAUCUCUGCCUGUCCCUUGGAAAUGAUUGGCGAAACUGAAAUGAUAGUUUGUUACUCUGCUCCAGAGGCAUCAAUGUUGCAGAAGGCGCUAGUCGGACGCUCGGGGCCCUCUUUGAGCUGCCAAGCAAUCAGUUUCAAGGCCCAACGUCUUGCCCCCUUCAUCCAUGAAAGAGCCUCCUUACAAGCAAUCACUACCGCGCAAGAGCCAGAUCAAGAGGAGCAUGAACCACUCCAUGUGAGGCCGCCAUGAAGUUACCAGAUGAGUCCCACAUGACCAGUAUCAGGAAAUAAACCGCGCGGGAGAGAUGUUUGUUGUCCGCACGAGCUUAGCUCAAUAGUUCAGUAGACAGUAUUUGGAAGAAAAAGAAACAUAAAGAAAAAAUAGCCCUUUUGUUCCGGUCAAUA